UCCAUAUUAUGUUCUCAGUUCUAUAUUACAAUUUGCAUUUAUCAACAUAUGCUUACAUAUUCACAAUUCAAAUAAAACAACUAAUAAAUUGUAAAAUAAAGGAAGUAAAGAACAUAUGUAUAUAAAUUCUAUGGCAAUAAAAGAAAUGUUUUCUAUAUUAUCUGCAUUUAGGUGGUACCCAACACUUUGACUAAUAUUAAUUUGGAUUGUUUAAUUUUCAUAAAAAAUUGACAAAAAGUUAACUUUGAACCCUUGACAAAAAAUAUAAAAAAAUCAAAGAAUUUGAACCAACCACUUUAUUAGAAAAAUAUCAUUGGUUAUAUAGUAGUUUAACAAACACUAUUUUUGAUCAUUGAGAAGCUUAAUAUUUCCUUAACAAUACAAUGUGAUUAAAACAUUUAGCUGAAUUUUACAGAGUUAUCUCCCUGUAGUGUUAACCAUAAAACCUUAAACUUCACUUAUCAAACAUGAUUUAUAAAACCACAAACAAAUUUUUCAACAAGUCAUUCUAUUUUCAUUGAAGGUGGUCAACAACCUAUGAUUGUAAUUUUCUGACCUAAAAGGUAUUCUUCGACUUCAAGGAAGGAAAAUAUUUUUAUUCAUCUUGACACUAGAGUGUACAAGAGGACAUAAACAAACAUAUAUAAAACAUGGCAGACAAAUAACUCAAUACAUUAAUAAACUGAUGUUGAUAUUUAGUACACUGUAUUAGUAAUCAAACAGACCCAGGAAUUCACCUUUUCAGAAUUUAAAUAGCUGUGGGUAAUUUCAUUGUUUGUAAACAAAAAUGAAAACGUUGUGUCAUUGGAUGGAUUUCCAUUGUUUAUAAAGUUUUAAACCAACAACAAUGUUUUGGUGAACACUUUUGAAAAUAUUACCCAGAAUGCAUUAGAUUCUGAAACAGCGAAUUAAAACAUAGGUGCAUGAGUCUUUCUUUGGUUAAAUGAAGAAAAAAAUAUGAAAAAAUGCUAUCAUAACAGAAGAACCAACAAUUAAAAAAAAAACACCUUGAAAAACCAUAGCAAGUACUGACACAUUAAAUUUUGAAUCAUUCCAUUUCUUUUACUGUAAAUUUAGAAAUUAUUUUGUGUAUCUUAAUUUCAAUUUUGAAGAAUGGACAGAAAUGCGAGAUUAAUUAUCACAAUUUUUUGGGAAAUUUGCAUACCAAUACAAUACAUGUAUCUGAUUAAAGAAUGUUAAUUCUUAUUAUUGCUACACUCUCCCAGUCCCCCUUGUUAUAUUUAUAAAUUAACUGUUUACAAAAUUUAGAUUUUUUUUUAAAUAAUAAGGCUUUUCUACCUCAGGCAUAGAUUACCUUAGCUGUAUUUGGAUCUCAAUGCUCUUCAACUUUGUACUUUAUUUGGCUUUUUUAAACUUUUUUGGAUUCGAGCGUCACUGAUGAGUCUUUUGUAGACGAAAUGCGCAUCUGGCGUAUAUACAAAAUUUAGUCCUGGUAUCUAUGAUGAAUGAGUUUAUUUGCAAUAAUUUCUGAACUUACAUCAUAUUUUAGAACUAUUGACAAUGACAGCACAUAUGCCAUUCCAAAGUACAUGACCAAAAAAAUGUCCAGUUAAUUGUAGUAUGUAGUGGUACCUUCUUAACUCAAAUAUUAUGACUUUAAUUAUAUAUUUAAUUAAAAAAAAGCUGUAGAAGAUAAAUGUAUAUGUAUCAUGUACAACAGUGAUAUCUGAACACAUAAUAUAUGAAGAGUAUACUUUACUACAUCUUCAAUGACAAUCUACUAACUCAAAAUGAGAAGGAUUGAGGAUAAAACAAGAAUGUGAACAUAGAACACGGAUGUCCCACUUGCACUAUCAUUUUCUAUGUUUAGUGGACCGUGAAAUUGGAAUAAAAUCUCGAAAUUCGGCAUUUAAAUUAGAAUGAUCAUAUCAUAUGGAACAUGUAUACUAAGUUUCAAGUUGAUUGGACUUCAACUUCAUCAAAAACUACCUUGAUCAAACACUCUAACCUGAAGCGGGACAGACAAACAAACGAACAGACGGACAGACGAACAAACGGAUGCACAGACCAGAAAACAUAAUGCCCCUCUACAAUCUUAGGUGGGGCAUAAAAAUCUAUAUCAGUGAUAACAGAACAUGUUUCCUCUUCCAGGCAGAAAUCCUUUAAUAUUCAAUAGAAGUAGACUUUUUUCAUAUUACCGACUUGAUUCCAGAUUAUAUAAUUUGUCGACUGGUUACCUUGGACAUCAUGGUACUCCGUCAAGUCAAAACUUUACUAUUUUCCGAUGAUUUUGUAGCGAAAAAAAUGUUAAGCAGGCAAUUUCCCCCCAAAACUACCGAUUGAAAGCUUGGUUUUACAUCUUUUGCUUGCUCUUACCUGACUUGGUACCAUGAUGUCCAAGGUAACCAGUCAACAAUUUAUAUGAUCAGGAGUCAACAGUCAGUAAUAUGAAAAUAGUCUUUGUCAAUAUGUAGUAUAAUUUGUGAGGUGUUAAAAAAUGUAAUAACAAAAAUGUGUCCAUAGUACACAGAUGCCCUACUGGCACUAUCAUUCUCUAUGUACGAUGGACCUUGAAAUUGGAAUAAAAACUCUUACUUGAUAUCAAAAUUAGGAAGAUUAUAUUAUAAGGAACAUGUGUACUAAGUUUCAAGUUGUUUGGACUUCAGCUUAACCAAAAACUACCUUGACCAAAAACUUUAACCUGAAGCGGGACAGACAAACAAACAGACCAGAUAACAUAAUGCCCCUCUACUAUCAUAGGUGGGGCAUAAAAAUGAUAGGUCAACAAGAUUUUUUUUAAAACAAAAGGUUUGGAAAAUAUGGCACAUUUUAUAUGGAUAAUACUACCUUAAACCUAUUUUGUCUAAUCAAAUAGCAUAAAUAAAUCCCACAAAAUUGGAGCAGAUUCAGUGACUAGUUUUUUUCAAAGACAAAUGAACACAAUGAUUAACUAAAGAUUAUUACAUUGGUUGCAAUGAAUUACAUUGAUUUCCCAGUUAAAUAAACAUGGUUAAUCACUCUCUGACAUCAUACAACAAUAGGCGUUGUCAAGAUGUCGAUAACGGCGGAUCAAAACAAAUUGUGAAUGCAUAGAAAAAAGAUAUAGUUCCUUACAUGUUUUACAUUAAUUUCUUUAAAAAAAAAAGCCAUUUUCCAAUGUAAUAAAAAGAAUAACUAAUUAAAGAAUUCUGAACAACACUGAUAAUUAACUCGUGUGCUAUGUGCAUUUUUUUCCAUUUGAAUUCUUCGAUUAGUUAUUCUAUAAUUAACAACUUUAGAAUGAACAAUAAUCAAAGAAAUUACAUGAAUCUCAUAAAUCAAACGGACAAUAAAAUGCUUCACUGAGCACAGCCUGAUACGACCGCAGAGGUUGAACCCUGAACUGUUGGGGCAAGUUUGGACACAAUAUUCAAGCUUGAUACUGUCUCAAUUUAUAUUUUGAUAAAAUUUUUGACAUAAAAUAGGUUUCUGACACAAAACAAAUGUCAAGACCUAACAAAGACUUUUUCUUGAAACUUCAAAAAUUUGAAAUUUGAAAGAAAAAAUAUGGAACCCCACCAAACUUUUUGAAUCCCACUUGGAGCAAUUAACCCCAAAAUCGAUCCCAUCCUUUCUAUUGUAGUAUGGAACCUUGCAAUACAAUUUCAGAGAGAUCAAUAAACUUAAACACAAGCAAUUGUCCAGAAACUACAAAAAUGGUUGUUUUUAGUCCCUUGUUGGUCCUUAAUUAAUCCAAACCUUCUAUGUGUGGUAUAUAUAUUAAACAUUGUGGUAAAAUUUUAGAGCAAUUGAAAUACUUAUACACAAGUUAUUAUCCUGAAAGUAGAAAAAUGCUUGUUUUGGGUCCCUUUUGGGCCCCUAAUUUCUGAACGGUUUUGACCACCAUCAUCAAAAUCAAUCCCAACCUUCCAUUUGUGGUAUUGAACCUUCUUAAUAAAUUUCAAAAAGAUCCAUUCACAUAAACUAGUUAUUGACCUGAAACCAAAUAUGUCUUCAGACAACGCAGACAACGACAACAUCAUACCAUUAUACAAUCCCAAAUUUUUUUUGCAGUCUUAUGAAAAGAGUCAUGUGAAUAAAAUGUUCUUUUAAACCCAGUGUAGCAGAAAAUUGUAGUUAGCACUUAACUUCCAUAAUGACAACUUUCAAACCAAUAAAACUGAAAAGUUGCAUUUAAAUGAUUAUAAUACCUCUUUGAUUUUGACAUCAUAAAUUGUUUGUAUUAUUUUAAGCUGUAAACAUGUUGAAUUAAUAAAAAAAUUAAUUAAUGAAUUGGAUUAAGGUUAUUCCCAUAGCCUUCUUUCUAGAAAAAAAACCUAAGCAAUAAAGUAGACAAUGUUUACAACUAAAUUCAUGGAUUCAGAAUCAUACAAAAUCAGAAAUAAAGGAGAUAUUUGAAGGGAGAUGAGGACCUGGAUAUGCAUAUUUACAUUAUUGAACCUCUCAGACUAUGUUUAUAAAGUCAUGGAUUUCAGACUCAUAAGGAGAUAUCUGAAGGGAGAUGAGGACCUGGGUAUGCAUAUGUACAUUAUUAAACCUCUCAGACUAUGUUUAUAAAGUCAUUGAUUUGGUAAAGAAAAUCACUGAAGGAAGACACUAACCUGGGUUUAUAUUAGUGUUGUCAACGGUUAACUGGUUAACUGGUUAACCGUUUGAACUACCGAAUACCAAAAAACGCUAACUGGUUAACCAGACUUUUUUUUUCAAUUUUGAUAGACUUGAUAUAAAUUUGUAAUGAAAUCAUUAAAUAGUUAUGUUGUCUUAAAAAAUUGUCGACCUGGUAAUUAAUUUUACAGAUCAAUUAUCCAGUAAAUUGAUUGCUAUUGUUAAUAAAAAAAAUUACUUAGAACUUGUCUCUCAGCUUUGGGCAAGAUCUUAAGGAAACAUAAUUAGUAUAUAUGUUUUGUUAACAGUAACUUUAAAUCAGUAAUAGGAUUAAGUUUUACGAUUUACUUUAUUAUUUCAUUUUUGUUCUUAUAUUGUGUCGACCUACAUCUGAAUGUGCAAUCUCUGUCGUGCAAGGCUUUGUCAUACUUAAAAUGAAAUGCUAACUCAAAAAUGGUGAAUUGCAAACCUAUGUGAGUAACAAGCUUUGGCUUAAUCAUUUCAAAUUGAAACACUCCACAUUAUUUUUGGAGACAACAAGAGAAAAUCAAAGAAUCAUCAGUUUCAAACAUAUUCAAUUCUACGAGAUCAAGAAGGUUUUUUUAACUUUUCAAUCUGAAUUUAGUACAAACGCCAUAGUUGAUACGGUGUAUUUGAUUAUUAAAAGUCAAACUUUUUCAAGAAUCUUCACAAACAAGCCUUAUAAUACCAAAGGACACUGAACUUCAAAUCAGCGUAUCAUAAAAACUUAAAUGUAUGACUUGGAUGACCGAAGGUUGUAACAUUAUAUAUAUGUAUGACUCAAAUCCAUGGUGGGUUCCAAAUGUAUGUCAGAUUCCUAAUCUGUGGUAAAUGUGACGUCAUGCCAUCCCAAAUCUAUGGCAAGUUUUGUAAUUUCCUAAUCUAUGGCGGAUUUAUGUUGUUUCCAAAUCUAUGGCAAGUUUUGUGCAAAUGGAAAACAAUGCAGUACAUUUUUGACCAAUGACUUGUCUUAAGUAAGCAGGUAAGAGGAAAUGUAUGACAACGGGGCCAUGUCUUUAAACAUCUUUUUUAUUAGAUGACGAUUUAAAUCAAUUUUGUAUCUGGUAAUUUUAUAUAUCAUUUUAUAAACUUUGCCUAACCGAAGACAGUAAACCACUACUAAUUAGACAUAGGAAGAUGUGGUAUGAGUGCCAAUGAGAGAAGGUACAGCCUUCAACACGGAGUCUUGGCUCACACCGAACUGCAAGCUAUAAAGGGCCCCAAAAAAUCCUUCUCUAAAACAUGUGGUACUGAAAAUAGUGGCGCCAUUAUUCAUCGCGGGAUUCAGCCAGUACAGCACAUUUGGUCUAUCUUCGGGAUAAUAGGUCACAUCUUCCUUUAAACCACCCGCAAAUUUUUGUCAGGGAAAUAUCUUCAUCUUGAAUGGUGUUCAAAUCUAUGGGUUCCGCCAUCGUUAGAGGCGGUGAAGAUGUAAUAUGGCGUUAUAUUCAAUUGUGACGUUAUAUGGUACCCUCUCCCCAAGAUCUGCCAUAGAUUUAGAGUAAACAAAAAUCUGCCAUAGAUUUUAGUUGUUUGGCGUUUGUAACGUCACAUUUGCCAAAGAUUAGAAAUCUGCCAAAUAUUUGGAACCUGGCAUAGAUUUGAGUCCUACAUAUAUAACACUCAUACCACAUCUUCUAUAUAUAUGUGUAGGGUACUAUAGAUAAGGCCUUCAAACAUCAACAUAAACUACCGGUUAACCAGUUAAUCAGUCAAACGAGGAUCCAAGUAACCGGUUAGGCAAAAUUGUACGAUUUGACAACACUAAUAUAUAUUUAAAAAAAAUAAAAAAUACAUUGUGUAUAAAAUAACAAUAUAACAUCUUCACACACUUAAACACAUGUCUUAUAUCUAUCUCUAGAUUCUCCUUCUGUGACAAGGUAACACUAUGACUAUUGAAAUUAUAUUUUUUAUAUAGCGGAUGUGGUCGAGUGGUCUAGAGGGCUGGACAUGAGGCUAAGCAAUUGGUGCUGUAGUGUAUCAAAGGUGUGAGUUCGAAUCCCACAGAGGGACGGACAAAAAUUUGUCAGCAGAAAAAUCUAACUCUAACAUUGUUUGGUGUAAUUUUCAGACUUAUAGAAGAAAAUUAUUAAAGAUUUUAACGGUUUCAAUGCAUCACUUUUUUACUAGUACUUUCACUGGUUUCGCAGAUCUUCAGGUAAUGUGACCUGUGUACAUAUAAAACAAUUGAUUGACGUUAACAAUAGUAUGACGUUAACAAUACAAGAGAGACUACUAAUGUCAUUUUAAGUCUUCAAAAUGUUACGUUAAAAUUACAAUAUCAUUUAUCAUUUAAUCCCGGGUUGAGAAUGUUUAUGAAUAAUUCUUCUUUCUUCCUCUGGAAAAAACGUCAUACUAUUGUUAACGUCAAUCAAUUGUUAUAUAUGUAUACAAGUCACAUUACCUGAAGAUCUGCGAAAGCAGUGAAAUAACUAUUAAAAAAGUGAUGCAUUGAAAUCGUUAUCUUUUAAUAAUUUUCUUAUAUGUUACCAGCAUACAGACUUCACUUAACUUUUUCUUAUAUAUAUGUGUUUCAGACCAUAUGAGUAUUUGGACCGUACGCGUACGGUCUUGACCGUAUGCGUACUUUUUCAAAAUACUCAGACGAACGCACCGUACGCGUACAAUCUGAUUAAUAUAAUUAAGAAGUUGCUUAAGUUUAUAAGUUACAAAUGCAUGUAACAGAUCAACAUAACUUAACU
RNAcentral lists this long non-coding RNA (7289 nucleotides) under Mytilus galloprovincialis (Mediterranean mussel). Lineage: Eukaryota; Metazoa; Mollusca; Bivalvia; Mytilida; Mytilidae. The record is from RNAcentral.